Lemur catta (Ring-tailed lemur) is the source of this 167-nucleotide long non-coding RNA. RefSeq lists it as uncharacterized. NCBI's taxonomy places the organism in Eukaryota, Metazoa, Chordata, Mammalia, Primates, Lemuridae. The transcript has 3 exons. The record is from RefSeq and is a predicted model, not a curated record.
UGGAAACUGAGACACAGAGAGGUUAAGAAACUAGUCCAGGAACACACAGCUGGGACAAGCAGAGCCUGCCCUCCCGUGAUCUCCAGGCAGAGGGAUGGAGAGAGCUGAAUCGUGGGUCACCCCCAGACCACAUGGAGAAACUGAGGCACAGGGAGGGGAAGUGAUUU